RNA transcript from Capsicum annuum, 2933 nucleotides. It is a transcript of the gene named putative disease resistance protein At3g14460, with no coding region annotated. NCBI's taxonomy places the organism in Eukaryota, Viridiplantae, Streptophyta, Magnoliopsida, Solanales, Solanaceae. The transcript is spliced from 7 exons. The record is from RefSeq and is a predicted model, not a curated record.
UUGUUAGGUGAAAAGUCAUACUCAUGUAAAGGAGAAAAAAGGACAGCUUUGAUUCUUUCUACACCCUUAGACUUUGUGGAAAAGGGAUAGUUGUACCAAUUACAAGUAAAACCACUGCAAAAAAAAAGGAGACGGAAGAAUCACUUUGCAGAUUACUCUUAACAUUCAACAGAUUUCAGAAAUGGAGAUUGGCUUAGCAGUUGGUGGUGCAUUUCUCUCUUCAGCUUUGAAUGUUCUCUUUGAUAGGCUUGCUCCUCAUGGUGAUCUGCUCAACAUGUUUCAGAAGAAUAAGAAUGAUGUUCAGUCCUAAUGGGACUGAAAGACUCGAUAUUCGUUGUUGUGAGAAUCUUGAAAUACUUUCGGUGGCAUGUGGGAUCCAGAUGACGACAUUGAUUAUUUCGGAAUGCAAAAAGCUGAAGCGGCUGCCAGAACGUAUGCAGGAACUCCUUCCCUCUCUUAAGGAACUGCGACUGUGGAAAUGUCCAGAAAUAGAGUCCUUUCCUGAUGGAGGAUUGCCCUUCAAUUUACAACUCCUUGAGAUCAGCUAUUGCGAGAAACUGGUGAACGGGCGAAAGGAGUGGCGUUUACAGAGACUCCUCUCUCUCAGAGAGUUGUACAUCAUCCACAAUGGCAGUGACGAAGAGAUUUUUGGUGGUGAGAAUUGGGAGUUGCCUUGCUCUAUUCAAAGGCUUUUCAUAGGCAAUCUGAAAUCAUUAAGCAGCCAACUUCUCAAAAGCCUCACCUCUCUUGAAUAUCUACGUACUGAUAAUUUACCUCAAAUUCAGUCACUGCUGGAACAAGGGCUUCCCUCCUCUCUUUCUGAGCUACGUUUAUCUCUUCAUGAUGAGCUCCAUUCACUACCAACCGAAUGUCUUGGGCACCUUACUUCGCUUCGACGUCUAGAGAUCAUCAAUUGCCCUCAACUCCAAUCUCUUGCAGAAUCAGCGCUGCCCUCCUCCCUCUCUGAGUUGACCAUCUGGAAUUGCCCUAAUCUCCAAUCCCUUCCAGUAAAAAGGAUUCCCUCUUCCCUCUCUAAACUAUCUAUUUACAGAUGCCAAUUGCUCAAACCACUCCUAGAAUUUGACAAGGGGAGGUACUGGCCAGAAAUUGCUCAUAUUCCUGAAAUAUAUAUGGAUUUCGCAUUAGGUGACAGCGAAUGGCUGUGAUGAUUAAUAAAAACGAAGCUCCCCCACAUGAGUUGAUCAAUGAAUUUGCAGAACCACUAAGAAGUGCAUAAAUGCUCGAAAAAAUGAAAUCUCUAUUUCACAAUCAGGAGUUGUUGAUCCAUUGGCAUUGUAGGAGUUGUUCAAUCGCUGAGCUGCAUAUAUAUAUAUCAUUGACGUAAUCUCCAAUCGCUUGCAGAACCAUCAGACUGGCCUCUUCCAUGUCUGAACUAUGUAUUUCCAACUGCCUGUUGCUCGAACCACAUCUAGCAUUUGAGAAAGGGGAUUGCUUGUCAUAAAUUGCUUAUAUCUCCUCAUCGAGAUUGGUCGGGAGUACCUGCAAUGAUUAAAAUGAUUGGUUCUCUGUUAAAUUUAAAUCUUGUUGAGCAGGGUUUAGCGUCUAUUGCCACUGUGAAGCCGAGAGAUCACCUCCAGAUUAUCAUGAAAAAUGACAAAUAAAAAGUACUAUCUUGCAUCUCCAGAAAUUUUUAAACAUUUUACUUGAGAAAGGAGGAUGUGAUUUAGAGUUGUACAUGUGGGUAGACUCUACAGGAUCAACAACCAUAGCGCACGAAGUAUGGUAGAAUUCCUCGUUAUGGCUAUUCAAGAAUCAUGUGAUGCGGUGAAAGGUUUCCCAUUGGGGUUCCCGACCCUCCAGAUUUUCACUUGCCAAUAGGGGGGUUUCCUUGCUAUUAAGGUGUCAAGGCGGUCGAAGGUCACAAGUGGAAGCAACCGAUGCUUUGAUCAUUCAAUUGACUCCUCGCUGUCAUGCUGGCAAAAGCAGGGGGUUCGGUUGGUUUUACCUCAGAUCAAUUCUUUGUUGCAAUCGCUUUGAUCCACCCAAAUUCUGUGAAGUUUGAACACCAAUUAGGAGUAGUCAUUUUCUAGUACCAAUUACAUGAUCCAGUGGUAUUAACUAUCAGAACUGAUAUUGUUAAAGCUGAAGCAUUUCAACUAAUUUACUCAUUAUGUUUAUAGUAUGUCUAUACAUGAACCAUUGAAGAUUUUUAGUUCAUCUCAAUAUCAAUUUAUAUACUGUUGUUGUUUCCUUUUUCCAGUGUGUUGAGCAAGGAAGAGGUGUUUCGGGGUAAUGAUUGUAUAGCAAUCUGCGUCAAUAAAGAUCUUCCCUCAUCGCUCUUUGUUCUGGUAAUCAUUUUCCUAUAUCUGAACUAUGCGUUUAUGGCAUCUGUUGCUUGAACCAUGUUUACACUCUAGAAAGGUGAGGACUGGCAUAAGAUUUCUAGUCCAUCUAAAAAGUAUCGGUGGUGACUCGUCUAAAGAUGAAGUUCAUGCGACUGGGAACAACAUUAGCUCGUUUCACUUUGUUCAUCCAUUAUCAUUGCAGGAGUUGUUCAUUCAAUUUGUGGAACACUUGGAAGAGCAUGAAUUUUCGGAAAAAUGAAAUCUCUAUUUCACAGUUAGGAGUUGUUCAAUCUUGUCUUCGUUGUCUUAAAGUCUGUCAAUUCUUGGAAUCACAAGGAAGAACUUGAAUGGUCAGAAACUACGCAAAUCAAAAAUGUGGAUGAAGAAUUCCAAACACAGGUUCUUUUUCACCACACGUCUGUCUACUUUGCCUUCCUUGAGAUGAAGCAUGCCUUGCUGCACAUGGAACAUACAGCUCUAAUGGAACCCAAUAUUACAUGAGAAUAAAAGUUGUUUGAUGUAACACAUAAAAGAACAUGUUGUACAUUAUGGUAUAUAAAUAUAUUGUUAUGGGGCCAUAUAUUUUGCUCGAAUCUUUGAAUACAAGUGUGUUUGCUUCUUAUGAUA